RNAcentral lists this ribosomal RNA (2517 nucleotides) under Escherichia coli. RNAcentral's name for it is "partial 23S ribosomal RNA". It matches the Rfam family "Bacterial large subunit ribosomal RNA", at positions 418 to 2915 of the family's 2925-position model. Lineage: Bacteria; Pseudomonadati; Pseudomonadota; Gammaproteobacteria; Enterobacterales; Enterobacteriaceae. The record is from RNAcentral.
CGGGACACGUGGUAUCCUGUCUGAAUAUGGGGGGACCAUCCUCCAAGGCUAAAUACUCCUGACUGACCGAUAGUGAACCAGUACCGUGAGGGAAAGGCGAAAAGAACCCCGGCGAGGGGAGUGAAAAAGAACCUGAAACCGUGUACGUACAAGCAGUGGGAGCACGCUUAGGCGUGUGACUGCGUACCUUUUGUAUAAUGGGUCAGCGACUUAUAUUCUGUAGCAAGGUUAACCGAAUAGGGGAGCCGAAGGGAAACCGAGUCUUAACUGGGCGUUAAGUUGCAGGGUAUAGACCCGAAACCCGGUGAUCUAGCCAUGGGCAGGUUGAAGGUUGGGUAACACUAACUGGAGGACCGAACCGACUAAUGUUGAAAAAUUAGCGGAUGACUUGUGGCUGGGGGUGAAAGGCCAAUCAAACCGGGAGAUAGCUGGUUCUCCCCGAAAGCUAUUUAGGUAGCGCCUCGUGAAUUCAUCUCCGGGGGUAGAGCACUGUUUCGGCAAGGGGGUCAUCCCGACUUACCAACCCGAUGCAAACUGCGAAUACCGGAGAAUGUUAUCACGGGAGACACACGGCGGGUGCUAACGUCCGUCGUGAAGAGGGAAACAACCCAGACCGCCAGCUAAGGUCCCAAAGUCAUGGUUAAGUGGGAAACGAUGUGGGAAGGCCCAGACAGCCAGGAUGUUGGCUUAGAAGCAGCCAUCAUUUAAAGAAAGCGUAAUAGCUCACUGGUCGAGUCGGCCUGCGCGGAAGAUGUAACGGGGCUAAACCAUGCACCGAAGCUGCGGCAGCGACGCUUAUGCGUUGUUGGGUAGGGGAGCGUUCUGUAAGCCUGUGAAGGUGUGCUGUGAGGCAUGCUGGAGGUAUCAGAAGUGCGAAUGCUGACAUAAGUAACGAUAAAGCGGGUGAAAAGCCCGCUCGCCGGAAGACCAAGGGUUCCUGUCCAACGUUAAUCGGGGCAGGGUGAGUCGACCCCUAAGGCGAGGCCGAAAGGCGUAGUCGAUGGGAAACAGGUUAAUAUUCCUGUACUUGGUGUUACUGCGAAGGGGGGACGGAGAAGGCUAUGUUGGCCGGGCGACGGUUGUCCCGGUUUAAGCGUGUAGGCUGGUUUUCCAGGCAAAUCCGGAAAAUCAAGGCUGAGGCGUGAUGACGAGGCACUACGGUGCUGAAGCAACAAAUGCCCUGCUUCCAGGAAAAGCCUCUAAGCAUCAGGUAACAUCAAAUCGUACCCCAAACCGACACAGGUGGUCAGGUAGAGAAUACCAAGGCGCUUGAGAGAACUCGGGUGAAGGAACUAGGCAAAAUGGUGCCGUAACUUCGGGAGAAGGCACGCUGAUAUGUAGGUGAAGUCCCUCGCGGAUGGAGCUGAAAUCAGUCGAAGAUACCAGCUGGCUGCAACUGUUUAUUAAAAACACAGCACUGUGCAAACACGAAAGUGGACGUAUACGGUGUGACGCCUGCCCGGUGCCGGAAGGUUAAUUGAUGGGGUCAGCGCAAGCGAAGCUCUUGAUCGAAGCCCCGGUAAACGGCGGCCGUAACUAUAACGGUCCUAAGGUAGCGAAAUUCCUUGUCGGGUAAGUUCCGACCUGCACGAAUGGCGUAAUGAUGGCCAGGCUGUCUCCACCCGAGACUCAGUGAAAUUGAACUCGCUGUGAAGAUGCAGUGUACCCGCGGCAAGACGGAAAGACCCCGUGAACCUUUACUAUAGCUUGACACUGAACAUUGAGCCUUGAUGUGUAGGAUAGGUGGGAGGCUUAGAAGUGUGGACGCCAGUCUGCAUGGAGCCGACCUUGAAAUACCACCCUUUAAUGUUUGAUGUUCUAACGUUGACCCGUAAUCCGGGUUGCGGACAGUGUCUGGUGGGUAGUUUGACUGGGGCGGUCUCCUCCUAAAGAGUAACGGAGGAGCACGAAGGUUGGCUAAUCCUGGUCGGACAUCAGGAGGUUAGUGCAAUGGCAUAAGCCAGCUUGACUGCGAGCGUGACGGCGCGAGCAGGUGCGAAAGCAGGUCAUAGUGAUCCGGUGGUUCUGAAUGGAAGGGCCAUCGCUCAACGGAUAAAAGGUACUCCGGGGAUAACAGGCUGAUACCGCCCAAGAGUUCAUAUCGACGGCGGUGUUUGGCACCUCGAUGUCGGCUCAUCACAUCCUGGGGCUGAAGUAGGUCCCAAGGGUAUGGCUGUUCGCCAUUUAAAGUGGUACGCGAGCUGGGUUUAGAACGUCGUGAGACAGUUCGGUCCCUAUCUGCCGUGGGCGCUGGAGAACUGAGGGGGGCUGCUCCUAGUACGAGAGGACCGGAGUGGACGCAUCACUGGUGUUCGGGUUGUCAUGCCAAUGGCACUGCCCGGUAGCUAAAUGCGGAAGAGAUAAGUGCUGAAAGCAUCUAAGCACGAAACUUGCCCCGAGAUGAGUUCUCCCUGACUCCUUGAGAGUCCUGAAGGAACGUUGAAGACGACGACGUUGAUAGGCCGGGUGUGUAAGCGCAGCGAUGCGUUGAGCUAACCGGUACUAAUGAACCGUGAG